Molecule: ribosomal RNA, 253 nt
Filed under: uncultured bacterium
Lineage: Bacteria
Description: partial 16S ribosomal RNA
Rfam family: Bacterial small subunit ribosomal RNA
Source: RNAcentral
GACGAACCGUGCAAACGUUGUUCGGAUUCACUGGGCUUAAAGGGCGCGUAGGCGGGUGGUCAAGUCGGGGGUGAAAUCUUUCAGCUUAACUGGAAAAUAGCUUCCGAUACUGGCCGUCUUGAGGGAGGUAGGGGCAUGUGGAACUUCCGGUGGAGCGGUGAAAUGCGUUGAUAUCCUAAGGAACACCGGUGGCGAAAGCGGCUCACUGGAUCUCUUCUGACGCUGAGGCACGAAAGCUAGGGUAGCGAACGGG